Molecule: ribosomal RNA, 253 nt
Filed under: uncultured bacterium
Lineage: Bacteria
Also listed under: 1 other name
Description: partial 16S ribosomal RNA
Rfam family: Bacterial small subunit ribosomal RNA
Source: RNAcentral
UACGUAGGGUGCAAGCGUUAAUCGGAAUUACUGGGCGUAAAGCGUGCGCAGGUGGUUUUACAAGACCGACGUGAAAGCCCCGGGCUCAACCUGGGAACUGCGUUGGUGACUGUAAGACUAGAGUGUGGCAGAGGGGGGUGGAAUUCCACGUGUAGCAGUGAAAUGCGUAGAGAUGUGGAGGAACACCGAUGGCGAAGGCAGCCCCCUGGGCUAACACUGACACUCAUGCACGAAAGCGUGGGGAGCAAACAGG